UACGUAGGGUGCAAGCGUUGUCCGGAAUUAUUGGGCGUAAAGAGCUCGUAGGCGGUUCGUCACGUCGGCUGUGAAACCUGAGGCUCAACCUCAGGCCUGCAGUCGAUACGGGCGGACUUGAGUACUGCAGGGGAGACUGGAAUUCCUGGUGUAGCGGUGAAAUGCGUAGAUAUCGGAAGGAACACCAGUGGCGAAAGCGGCUCCCUGGUCCAGCACCGGACGUUCAGGCACGAAAGCGUGGGGAGCAAACGGG
This 253-nucleotide ribosomal RNA is filed under the name uncultured bacterium. RNAcentral describes it as "partial 16S ribosomal RNA". It matches the Rfam family "Bacterial small subunit ribosomal RNA", at positions 524 to 776 of the family's 1533-position model. The record is from RNAcentral.